RNAcentral lists this ribosomal RNA (349 nucleotides) under Arthrobacter sp. C2(2013). RNAcentral describes it as "bacterial SSU rRNA". It matches the Rfam family "Bacterial small subunit ribosomal RNA", at positions 425 to 785 of the family's 1533-position model. Lineage: Bacteria; Bacillati; Actinomycetota; Actinomycetes; Micrococcales; Micrococcaceae. RNAcentral also lists the same sequence under 1 other name. The record is from RNAcentral.
GUAAACCAUCUUUCAGUAGGGAAGAAGCGAAAGUGACGGUACCUGCAGAAGAAGCGCCGGCUAACUACGUGCCAGCAGCCGCGGUAAUACGUAGGGCGCAAGCGUUAUCCGGAAUUAUUGGGCGUAAAGAGCUCGUAGGCGGUUUGUCGCGUCUGCCGUGAAAGUCCGGGGCUCAACUCCGGAUCUGCGGUGGGUACGGGCAGACUAGAGUGAUGUAGGGGAGACUGGAAUUCCUGGUGUAGCGGUGAAAUGCGCAGAUAUCAGGAGGAACACCGAUGGCGAAGGCAGGUCUCUGGGCAUUAACUGACGCUGAGGAGCGAAAGCAUGGGGAGCGAACAGGAUUAGAUAC